Long non-coding RNA from Helicoverpa armigera (cotton bollworm), 521 nucleotides. RefSeq lists it as uncharacterized. The transcript has 3 exons. The record is from RefSeq and is a predicted model, not a curated record. Lineage: Eukaryota; Metazoa; Arthropoda; Insecta; Lepidoptera; Noctuidae.
AACGUCGAAGAGACCGCGUGUUUCGGGUCCUUCUCUCUUUCAAAACUCUUUCUUGUGAAAAAAAAUCCUAUCUCUACUCAUCUUGAAGCAAAAUAAGAGUUCUCAGUUCAGUGUUAUUUGUGUAUUUUUUUAAUAUUAUUUUUUCAAAACGUUUGAAUCGUGUCUCCUUUUGUUAUGUAAUACGUCUGUGAAACUUCAGCCGAACUGUUGUAAAAGCUGAAAAAUAAUACAAAAACAUCGAUUUAGUCUGGUCUGUGAUAAAAAAGAGAGAUCUCAUAAACAAUACCUUUUUUGUUGACGUUUAAAAAAAAGCAUAUUUCGCGUGUUAUCUGUUGCGAUUGUUAAAUUGAAAAAAAAAAUAACGUUCGAUGUUGGGUUCUCAAUUUAAAAAUGACGUCCCAAGAAGCGUCGACAAUGACGAAGAACUUUUUGACGGUGACCAACAUUGUGAACGAAGGGAUCAAAGGGAGCAAGAUAUCUAAACUUGGCUUGUCCAAGUACCUGUCUCAGUCUCUGUAAGU